UACGUAGGGUGCAAGCGUUGUCCGGAAUUAUUGGGCGUAAAGAGCGUGUAGGCGGCUUUACAGGUCCGUUGUGAAAACUCGAGGCUCAACCUCGAGACGCCGGUGGAAACCGUAAAGCUAGAGUCCGGAAGAGGAGAGUGGAAUUCCUGGUGUAGCGGUGAAAUGCGCAGAUAUCAGGAAGAACACCCGUGGCUAAGGCGGCUCUCUAGUACGUGACUGACGCUGAGACGCGAAAGCGUGGGGAGCGAACAGG
Molecule: ribosomal RNA, 253 nt
Filed under: uncultured bacterium
Lineage: Bacteria
Description: partial 16S ribosomal RNA
Rfam family: Bacterial small subunit ribosomal RNA
Source: RNAcentral